UAUAGGUCUCGCGCCAAACACGUUAUAAUCUAUCUCACGUGCUCAUCCAUCAAAAUCACGUGACAUCUCCAACUGCCAAUUAAAGAAGCGGAGAAAGUAGAAGCCUAAAUGAUCUUUUAAAAAAUUGACUGAUUUUGUUUUCUUAUUUAUUUUUUCUUAUAAAUUCAGACAAAUUUCUACCUACAAUUUACACAAAAUGCCAUUCCAACAACAACCAAAUUGAAAAUUCACGACGGAGACCGGUGGUUCCUAUCGAGAAACCCCUCCAAAACCACUCUCUUCUUGUACUCCUCCGAGUUGAAAUCCGGUUCGCUUGAAACCAAACCAUUUUUCACGGUUCCAUUCAGACUCGGUUUAACCUCGGCGGUUAACCGAGGAAAGAAAUAUAACCAUGCACACGUACAAAGAAUCGCACAAAACCGACCCAAUAAUAACAUUGUGAUCAGAGUCACCAUCACAAUUGACAUGCCAAUCACUGGGUCGAAUUUUUUAUCGAUUGCUCCAUUUUCUUUUCUAACCCUUUUAGCACUUACCCGUGAUUUUCCCGGCAGGUUUGGUGCCGGCAAAGAUGUCGAUCGGAGAACGGCGGUUCCAUGGGACCUGAGCUCCGGUGAAAUGGGUUGGCUGGAACUAACUCUUGCAGAGUCUAUUUUCCGGCUGAAAGACAACUGUUUAGAAGAAUCCAUCACAGGAUCCAAAAGUUUCCCAUCUUCAAGGAUGAUGUUCUGUUCAGAACCAUGCUUUGUCUCUUGAGGUCUGUCUUCAGUAGCUUGAUCUGAAGCAGUAUCAACUUCAGGGGCUGCCGGAAUCUUAUUUUGGGCUGCCGGAUUUUUACGUUUUGAGGGGAUCUCAUCGGAGGGUUUCAGCUUCGGUUUUGAAUUCCUUAGCUUAGUCUUUCGAGUCUGUAGUUUCUCUGAUAUAGUAGAGUAGUCGACAUGAAGAGUUUUGAUGCCGGAUUGUUUCAAGAGAAACGUCGUUGACCGGGAAAACCAAUUAUGCUUGUGAACAGUUUGUACAAUUUUUACUGUUUUUUUCUUGGAAACAUGCAGUUUCCCGGAAAAUCCAAAACAACCCAGAUAGAGGGUCGUUUUGGCCUUGGGUUUUGGUUGCUGCUUCUCGUCCAUAACAGAGACGAAUCACCGAGGACUUUGAAGAAUAAAGACUGGGAACGGUUGGCAUAAUUGUUUGGAUCACUAUUUGUAGAUAAGAAAUGGGUGUGUAAUAGUGAAAAUAAUGAAAA
RNAcentral lists this unclassified non-coding RNA (1240 nucleotides) under Hevea brasiliensis (rubber tree). The record is from RNAcentral. Lineage: Eukaryota; Viridiplantae; Streptophyta; Magnoliopsida; Malpighiales; Euphorbiaceae.